Molecule: ribosomal RNA, 722 nt
Filed under: uncultured Fusobacterium sp.
Lineage: Bacteria; Fusobacteriati; Fusobacteriota; Fusobacteriia; Fusobacteriales; Fusobacteriaceae
Description: bacterial SSU rRNA
Rfam family: Bacterial small subunit ribosomal RNA
Source: RNAcentral
GAUGAACGCUGACAGAAUGCUUAACACAUGCAAGUCAACUUGAACUUCGGUUUGGGUGGCGGACGGGUGAGUAACGCGUAAAGAACUUGCCUCACAGAUAGGGACAACAUUUGGAAACGAAUGCUAAUACCUGAUAUUAUGAUUUUAGGGCAUCCUAGGAUUAUGAAAGCUAUAUGCGCUGUGAGAGAGCUUUGCGCCCCAUUAGCUAGUUGGAGAGGUAACGGCUCACCAAGGCGAUGAUGGGUAGCCGGCCUGAGAGGGUGAUCGGCCACAAGGGGACUGAGACACGGCCCUUACUCCUACGGGAGGCAGCAGUGGGGAAUAUUGGACAAUGGACCAAGAGUCUGAUCCAGCAAUUCUGUGUGCACGAUGAAGUUUUUCGGAAUGUAAAGUGCUUUCAGUUGGGAAGAAAAAAAUGACGGUACCAACAGAAGAAGUGACGGCUAAAUACGUGCCAGCAGCCGCGGUAAUACGUAUGUCACAAGCGUUAUCUGGAUUUAUUGGGCGUAAAGCGCGUCUAGGUGGUUAUGUAAGUCUGAUGUGAAAAUGCAGGGCUCAACUCUGUAUUGCGUUGGAAACUGUGUAACUAGAGUACUGGAGAGGUAAGCGGAACUACAAGUGUAGAGGUGAAAUUCGUAGAUAUUUGUAGGAAUGCCGAUGGGGAAGCCAGCUUACUGGACAGAUACUGACGCUGAAGCGCGAAAGCGUGGGUAGCAAACAGG